This 74-nucleotide transfer RNA is filed under the name Sulfobacillus thermosulfidooxidans. RNAcentral's name for it is "tRNA-Trp". It matches the Rfam family "tRNA". Rfam says of the family: Transfer RNA (tRNA) molecules are approximately 80 nucleotides in length. Their secondary structure includes four short double-helical elements and three loops (D, anti-codon, and T loops). Lineage: Bacteria; Bacillati; Bacillota; Clostridia; Eubacteriales; Clostridiales Family XVII. Incertae Sedis. The record is from RNAcentral.
AGGCCCGUCGUUCAACGGUAGGACAGCAGUCUCCAAAACCGCCAAUGUCGGUUCGAUUCCGGCCGGGUCUGCCA